Molecule: ribosomal RNA, 253 nt
Filed under: uncultured bacterium
Lineage: Bacteria
Description: partial 16S ribosomal RNA
Rfam family: Bacterial small subunit ribosomal RNA
Source: RNAcentral
UACGGGGGGGGCAAGCGUUGUUCGGAAUUACUGGGCGUAAAGGGCUCGUAGGUGGCCAACUAAGUCGGACGUGAAAUCCCUCAGCUUAACUGGGGAACUGCGUCCGAUACUGGAUGGCUUGAGUUUGGGAGAGGGAUGCGGAAUUCCAGGUGUAGCGGUGAAAUGCGUAGAUAUCUGGAGGAACACCGGUGGCGAAGGCGGCAUCCUGGACCAACACUGACACUGAGGAGCGAGAGCCAGGGGAGCAAACGGG